Molecule: ribosomal RNA, 261 nt
Filed under: uncultured archaeon
Lineage: Archaea
Description: partial 16S ribosomal RNA
Rfam family: Archaeal small subunit ribosomal RNA
Source: RNAcentral
UAGCCGUAAACGAUACUCGCUAGGUGUCGGCCACGGUGCGACCGUUGUCGGUGCCGUAGGGAAGCCGUGAAGCGAGCCACCUGGGAAGUACGGCCGCAAGGCUGAAACUUAAAGGAAUUGGCGGGGGAGCACAACAACGGGUGGAGCUUGCGGUUUAAUUGGAUUCAACGCCGAAAAACUCACCAGCAGCGACUGUUACAUGAAAGUCAGGUUGAUGACCUUACUAGAUUUUCAGAGAGGUGGUGCAUGGCGUAGACGUCU